CCUUUUUCUCUACCUCAGUGUCACCCUUUCCUAGAGUCGAUUAGCCGACCAUGGCCACCGCCUUUCCCUUAAGUCUCUGGCUUAUUGUUUCUGCUAAUCUUCUGCCUCUUUUGCUUAUUAUUGCUACUAUUCCAGCUGGAUCCUUUGCAAUACGACCUUAUCCAUCUCAAUCCGUCUUCACCCAACCCAGCGAUCUGACGAACAACCUCCACGGCAGCGUCGCCGAGGGAUUUGAACGGCGAUGGGGCAACAGAAGCGGCAGAAGAUUAGCAGAAACAAUAAGCCANNNAUACCGAAGGAAUACUGAGCAAGGUAGAAGGUGGUUCAUGACCAUGAGAAGACUUUUGACCGGCCCAGGUCAUACUUCACCCCGUAAUGGCACACACGGGCGCUAGUGAAUAGCGAUGUUUCAUUUAAGGGCAACUACGUACUUUCGUUUUUUUCAGUUAAGG
This 452-nucleotide unclassified non-coding RNA is filed under the name Hevea brasiliensis (rubber tree). Lineage: Eukaryota; Viridiplantae; Streptophyta; Magnoliopsida; Malpighiales; Euphorbiaceae. The record is from RNAcentral.